AUUAAUCAACAGGCUGGAAAACCCAGAACUCUCCUCUUCGUGACGUCGUCUAUCAUACCACAGCAGAGAGUGAGAGGGGGAGUCAGACCGUGCGGGCGCAGCAGCGGGUUGGACGAAGAGUUCCUCACCUCGCACGAAGAAACACUGUGUGAACUAACAGACGGACAAAAUAACCAAACAACUUAACUGGUUUCUUUGAUGAUCUGUGCCGUGCCGUGUCGUGCCCGCUGGAGAAACAGAGCCUGCACAGCUUCGAGAAACGAGAGAGAACAACGGUUUACAGAUCGGUGGAUAUUCCGGCAGCUCUUCCUCACAGAAACCAUGGUGGCAGCCAUCCUGAAAAUGUAUUUCUUUGGAACAGCACUUUCCGUCCUUGCAGUCCUUUAUGAAAUUGCGGACUCCGUUGGUGGUCUCAUGCACGUGCAGGACCAUCACUACUUACAGGAGCUGAACCAACAGACAGAGAGGGACAUUUCUUCAAACAACUGGAGAGGGCGGCCCGUGACUAAAAACAUUGGCUCAUGAGAAGAUCGUCAUGUUGUAGUUUUUGGACAUGUUCUGCAACUGUCUGGAAGGACAUGGGAUGUUCACUUAUGUGGAUUUAUGGUCCAAAUGGUUCUUUCUGUUUGGGCACUUUUUUGUAGCCCAUUGUCUGCUGUCAUGUCUUGUAGCAGCUAUUGUGUAAAACCACUACUGAACACAGAACACAUUCCUUGUGUUAAAAGUACACAUUUUGUAUAUAAUUUUCUAAGCAAAGUGAAUGAAAACAUUGGGGGAUUUUUGAUGAAUGUUUUUGAUGUGUGUAAGUUUAUUGCAGCAUGUAGAAGUCGGAGUACAAAGUGUGCGUUUCAGUUUGGUAGUGAUCCAGCAACUGAACUUGGAGUCAAAAAGAGAAAUGCAGGCUGCCAUAAAACUAACAGGUCUUAACAAAACAUGACUUCUCUAGAAAAUG
Pundamilia nyererei is the source of this 952-nucleotide long non-coding RNA. RefSeq lists it as uncharacterized. Lineage: Eukaryota; Metazoa; Chordata; Actinopteri; Cichliformes; Cichlidae. The transcript is spliced from 2 exons. The record is from RefSeq and is a predicted model, not a curated record.